RNAcentral lists this ribosomal RNA (497 nucleotides) under uncultured bacterium. RNAcentral describes it as "partial 16S ribosomal RNA". It matches the Rfam family "Bacterial small subunit ribosomal RNA", at positions 28 to 507 of the family's 1533-position model. The record is from RNAcentral.
GAUGAACGCUGGCGGCGUGCCUAAUACAUGCAAGUCGAGCGAACAGACGAGGAGCUUGCUCCUCUGACGUUAGCGGCGGACGGGUGAGUAACACGUGGAUAACCUACCUAUAAGACUGGGAUAACUUCGGGAAACCGGAGCUAAUACCGGAUAAUAUAUUGAACCGCAUGGUUCAAUAGUGAAAGACGGUUUUGCUGUCACUUAUAGAUGGAUCCGCGCCGCAUUAGCUAGUUGGUAAGGUAACGGCUUACCAAGGCGACGAUGCGUAGCCGACCGGAGAGGGUGAUCGGCCACACUGGAACUGGGACACGGUCCAGACUCCUACGGGAGGCAGCAGUAGGGAAUCUUCCGCAAUGGGCGAAAGCCUGACGGAGCAACGCCGCGUGAGUGAUGAAGGUCUUCGGAUCGUAAAACUCUGUUAUUAGGGAAGAACAAAUGUGUAAGUAACUAUGCACGUCUUGACGGUACCUAAUCAGAAAGCCACGGCUAACUACGUG